This 462-nucleotide ribosomal RNA is filed under the name uncultured bacterium. Its description in RNAcentral is "bacterial SSU rRNA". It matches the Rfam family "Bacterial small subunit ribosomal RNA", at positions 29 to 506 of the family's 1533-position model. The record is from RNAcentral.
AUGAACGCUGGCGGCAUGGAUUAGGCAUGCAAGUCGAACGGGCCGUUUUUCGCAAGAGAAGCGGUCAGUGGCGAAAGGGUGCGUAACACGUGAGCAACCUGCCCCCGAGUCCGGGAUAGCCCGCGGAAACGCGGAUUAAUACCGGAUGUGGUACCCCUCCUCAUGGCGGGGCCACUGAAGAUUUAUCGCUCGGGGAUGGGCUCGCGGCCCAUAAGCUAGUUGGCGGGGUAACGGCCCACCAAGGCUAUGACGGGUAGGUGGUCUGAGAGGAUGGUCACCCACACUGGGACUGAGACACUGCCCAGACUCCUACGGGAGGCUGCAGUCGAGAAUCUUCCGCAAUGGGCGCAAGCCUGACGGAGCGAUGCCGCGUGAGGGAUGAAGGCCUUCGGGUUGUAAACCUCUGUCAGAGGGGACGAAGAAUGUGACGGUACCCUCAGAGGAAGCCACGGCUAACUACGU